Molecule: small nuclear RNA, 157 nt
Filed under: Diaphorina citri (Asian citrus psyllid)
Lineage: Eukaryota; Metazoa; Arthropoda; Insecta; Hemiptera; Psyllidae
Description: U1 spliceosomal RNA
Rfam family: U1 spliceosomal RNA
About the family: U1 is a small nuclear RNA (snRNA) component of the spliceosome (involved in pre-mRNA splicing).
Source: RNAcentral
AUACUUACCUGGCGUGGAGGUUAACCUUGAUCAACAAGGAGGUUCCUCCAGGGUGAGGCCCUUCCAUUGCACUUCAAAAACGUAAAGAAAAUGGCCUAAAAAAACACACACUUCUAAUGUGAAACUCAUUAGACUAUGGUUACAUUAGUGUCUAGAU